Molecule: non-coding RNA, 18 nt
Filed under: Arabidopsis thaliana (thale cress)
Lineage: Eukaryota; Viridiplantae; Streptophyta; Magnoliopsida; Brassicales; Brassicaceae
Source: RNAcentral
AUCUUGAUGAUGCUGCAU